UUAAUUGCCAUGGAAUGAACUGUAAUAAUGGUCUUCUGUCUUUAUUGAAGAAUUUAUGUUUAUUCCUUUUAGAGAUGUGAUCCUUGUGGUGGUGAAAUAGUGCUCUUCAAAAUCAUUACAUAUUACAAUGAGGCUAAUUUGUGUGAUGCUCUUAUUUGGAAGAGAUGAUUGCAUCACCAAACUGUUGUGGAAUUAGCAAAUGGUGUGGAUGGACCAUUGUUUCCACACUAUUAAUGAUUUCCAUGUAAGAGAAGUUACCAACUGGGAUUAGACUUGGUUGAUUUGUCAAUUGGAGUGCUCAACCACUGCUGGAGGUUGGUUAAGUGGUCAGGUGGCAUUCAUUGUGUUGGACUUUCUAUUUACAUGUGAUCGGUUAUAAAUCUGAGUGUGUAUUUUGUGUACAACCUGUUGUUACUUGAUCUUUGCUAUUAAAUGUGGUAAUUUGUCACGAUGGCUGAACCAUGCAUAUACAGUAAGUUGCUUAUUGUGGAGAUUUUCUUGAAUGGUUAAUAGGUUACACCUUUUAGUUGAGUCUGCCUACAAAGCUUGUUGCAGCUGUAAAUGUGGUAUGGUACUUCGGAUUCACUUACCCUCUUUGAUAGUGAACCCCACAUGAGCAUCCAGAGUGCAUGGCAUAAUUUUAGCUUCACAGUCUCAAACAGGAAAAAAAAUGCAUCAUACUCAUCAAUGUCCACUGAAUUUACAUUGUCACCUUAGAGGUCCUUGACCAAGCUGGCAUACCAAAAUAGCCAGUAGUCCACGGCAUGUACAUCUUGAAUAACAUACUUGCCCACAACGUGUGUUAAGGCCAUGACACAACCCCUAAGCAAGCCCCUAGCUAGUGGCUGAGUACUAAGGCAAUUGAUGACCCCAAGACAUGCUGACGGUACUUAUACACUCAUAUAAGCCAAGUGCAUAUCCUUGCCUAAAAUGUGCAUUAGGGCCGUGACAUGGCCACAGAGUACACAGCUCAUGAGCAUUGUUGAACACUCAUAUGGAGCAUGAAAUAUAUUUCCAUUGGAAAUGGUGCCAAUCAAGUGAAUAGUCUGCAUGGCAUGGUGGUUGCAUGUCAGACUUUUUAGCUGAGUGUUACUUUAUAGUGUCCUCACUCCUUGCUUGUCAUCAUACUCUCCAUGAUUCACUGUCUUUCUGCAGCUCCUAAUUGUCAUCAAGUUCAUGCCAUGCUCCUCCAUCAAGGGCACAAUGUGCUAUGGAUUUUGCUGUAAUGGGGUUCUGGGAACCCAUUAACAUCUUAGGAAAUCCCUAGAGCAUGGCAUGUAGGUGAGGGCCUUGAGGCUAGGCAUGCAACCAUAGGUGGUCACUCUCACCAUCACUUUCCAUCUGGAAGACAAAAUGGUGCCAUUAAUGUGCUUCUUGGAAACUCCAUCAUUACCUGUAUAAACACCUAAUUCACCUCAGAAUUGCAUACUGUUUCUUUUGUGACCUUUUUCUGUACCAGACCAUUUUCCCCCUAAAAGUAGUAAAAUUAUAUGAUCAAUUAAGUAUAUAUGAUUUGGGCUAGUUGAAAGAAUUUGACAUGUGUCUACCUGAAUGUGACAAACCUACUAUGCAUUUUGUCAUCUGUUUAAGACAACAUCUCUAUAUCCAAAACUGAUAAUUUGCAGUAUUUGCUCACUAGGAAGGCAUAAGCGUACUCUUGAGACCUGGCUCAAGUGGUAAAUGGAUGGAGUGGGUUUAUGGGAGGUUAGAGGUUCAAAUCUCAAUGGGGACAAAUAAUGAAAAAAGAAAAAAAAAAAAGCGUACUCUGGAGAUGCUAUCUGGGGCCUCAUCCCAGUGGGUGGGUUCGAGUACUGUUGCCUUGAGGCACCUCUUUCCAUGCCAUCUUACACCAUUUAGACUUGUGCCAACUACUGAAGAGCACACUGAGCUGCAUUCCUGAAGGUCACUGAUGGCUAAUGUUGGAUCCUCUCAUCCUUAUUCUAGUUGCUCCUUUAGUAGUGUUCAUGUCUAUAUGUGCUUGAGAAACUGUGGCACUUGGUGAUCACAUAGGUGGCCAGUAUUUCAUUUCUGAGUCAUUUUUAUUCAGUUAAUCAGAUAUUUGUGUCAUAAAUUCAUUAUUGAAGGAUGAUGUCAUAUCAUUCAGGACAGGAAGCCACUCUAAAGCAUAUUCUUUUAUUUUUCCUUUCCCUCCAGUCACUCCUAGAGAAAACUCCCUUCAUCGUUGAAGGGUGAAGCUGCUUAAGGUGCCCAGAACUCUUUUCUGUUUCUUAUUUUAUGCUCAUGAUUUAUUUGGAAACUAUAUAUGGUGAAUUGGAUGUUUUAAGAAUAGUGAUAUCAUUUUAUUUGGAAACUACCAAUAAUAUACUGGAUGAUUUAAGAGCAGUGGCAUCUCAUUUCUUGUUGCAAUGCUGUCACAUUGAGGCUUUGUUUGGGAGGUGUUUUUGGAAAUGGUUUUGAAAAACAAUUUUUGAGAAUAGUUCUUAAGAAUAGUUUGUUGGUGUUUUUAGAAGUAAAAUUGCAUUUGGAAAUUGAGUUCUAAAAGACAAUUUUUUUUUUGUUUUUAGAAACAAUAAAAGAUGUUUAGUUGAAUUAAUAAAAACAGUAUUAUAAAACAAGUAUAAAAAAAAAAUUGCUUGGAAGUUUUUUUUGAUCGAGUAUUUUCCUUAAUUAACUUGAUAUUUUAAAUGUAUAUAUAUUUUAGAUUUUACACUUUAUAAAAUUAAAAAAAUUGUAUCCAUUUUUAAAAUUGCUUGCAUCAUUUUUACAAUUGUUAUUGCCACAAUCUGUAAUUUGUGCUACACGUUUAUAGCAGAUUCAUCCUCAAUAGAACAUAACACAUUAGUAAACCAAUGGACGAAAAACCAUAUGAAUCAAACUCAUUCAAUUGCUCAAGCUCAACUUUCAACUGCUCAAUCUUCAGCCCCAGUGACCUCAUCACCAUCCUUCUGUGACUCUCCAGCAAUUUCUCCAAAAGACCCUCAAACAUGUCCACCACCUCCUUCAUAACAGCUUUUGUACAACUGGCUUCUUCAUCAAAAUAUAAUCUCCAAAGUCAUCUCUAUCUCCACCCUCACCUUUGCAAACUUGAGGUUGAUCUCCUCCACUACCUUGUCCUUAUCCAACUUGUUCACAGACCCACCACUGUAUUUUUUCAGACUCACCCGAGAAAUGAACUGGGUUGAUGGAUUUGACCUAUUUAGGGGAGGAAAAUAGUGGGAUUUGCAGGCAGGUGUGUAGAAAAUUUGGGGUUUUGGAGACAGAAUCGAGUUUGAAAUGAGUUGGUUGGGGAUUUGUGUGAGCGAGUUCAGUGGAAUCAGAGAAGUGGGUAUUAAAGAUCUUUGAAAAGUGUGCCUGAGGAUCAAUUUACAGAGCAAAAUGUGUAAAUGUUGAUGCAUUUCUGUCCAGAGACAGAACAAAGAUGAACAAGUGGGCGAACAGAGCUGUUCUUCCUGUUUUCUCCUUUUAUGUUUUUUUUUUUGUUUCCUCAACAGUGUUGAAAACAAGAGAACAGCUUCAAGUUGUUCUAAAAAAUACCCUUUUUUGAGAACAAUUCUCAAAAACAAGCCAUGGAAACAAUGGGCAAUCAAACAUGUUUUUAUGGUUUUUUGUUCUCAAAAACAAAAAUCUGCUCUUGAGAACAGCUCCCAAACAUACCCUAAUAUUCUUUUUUGGAAAUUAGAAAUUUGGCCUCUAGAGGAGGUGUUCCAUCUUCCAUGAUGGAAUGUUGCUGUAAUACAGUGGAUCAGUGAUUUAAUUAUAUUUUCAAAUCUCAAUCUUGCAGUUUUAUUUUGGGUUUAGGUAAAUCACUUCCCAUGUGUUAGUGAAUUUCUUUAUGAGUCUCUAGUUGCAAGUUUUUACCCAAACAUGGCUAAUGAGAAAACCGUGCUUCCAUUUUUGUUGUUUGGGUUGAGUGCUACUUCUGAAGUACAGUGUUUUGAGUGACUAAUUCAUCAGAGGUGUAUUGUGCUUCUGCCCAUCAUUGCUUUUGUUUCUUCUGUGGUGCUAUUAAUAUACAGAUAAGAAGCAAAGCUUGUGCACUGAUUUGUCAAAGGAGAUUCCCUGUGGCAAGUCUUAUUUGAUUGAGCUGAAGUGAUUGAUAACAUGGGGGUCUCAGGGAAAUGGAUUAAAGCAUUGGUUGGUUUAAAGAAAUCAGAAAAGUCGCAGUCUUCAGAGAAGGAUGAAAAUGUGAGUAAUUUUUUUUUUUAUAAGUUUCCAAAUUUUGUAUGUUUUUUCUUUUCCUGCUUGGUAAAGAUAUGCGUAUCUUAUGCUAGUUUCUUGUCUGAAGUUGGAGUCUAUUAAUGGUUAUUCUCGUUUUGAAUGUGCUAUUAGGAAUAAUGAAUUCUCAUCUUACAUCUGAGAGAAAGUUCAGAGAAUGAAAUUUUUUUGGGGUUAGCUAUUCCAUCUGGCAUGUGGUAUAUCUGCUGGCAUCUGUUCUACUUGACUUAAUACCUAGUUGUUGAUAAGCAUGAUGACUUCCACAUUUACUAUCUGAUUUUUUUUUUUCCAGUAAGAUUUGGGAAUUAUGUCAUAUUUUGAGUUAUUUAUAUACGUCUAACUAACUCUGUCUAGUUCAGAGUUUUUUCUCUCAUAGAACUGGUCCCUGGCUUGGAGAAAGGAUUAGGAUAGUGUAAAAAAAAGGCAAUGUAAAGACAGAGGGAGAAGAGGGGAUUUUGCAAUGCAAAUUGAUCAAUGAGGUGCGUAACCCUAUCUCAGCUGUUUCUGAGCGAGAUCUUCCUCUGUCUGGGGCUUUUGAGCCAAAUCUUAUUCCCGAAACCUCGGUUUCUUUGGUUCAUCCUUUUUGUGUACACUCUUCUUCUUCAUAUCCGUUGGAGUCAAGCCACGCUUUUCAGCGUGGGUCUAUUUCUAUCUCUCCUGUGGUGUAUGAUAACCAUCGUGGUGGUGCGUCCUGUUCGUAUGGUGUGGUGGUACCCCUAGAAACCUCUAACCAAAAAUCUAAAGACCGACCUUUCCUGAGGGAAACUCUUAGCAACCUUGAGGUGCAUGGUGUCUCAGGUGAGGCUUCGUUCCCAGUGCAAGAACCUUCCACUCUCCCAUUGGAAGGUUUUCAGGUUGAGGGGCUUACGCCUCGGGAGAUGGUCAAGGUUCAGUCGGUUCUGGAGAGUUUGAGGGUUAGAAUUGUUAGGGAUAAUGGGAAAGGUGUGGAAGGAGAGAACAGGAAUCCUCUCUCUGCGGACAAGGUUUAUUCCAGAAGAAAGAAGAAAAAGGAUUCUGGAACUCGAGGAGAGGAUUAGUCCUGGGUGCGGGUUGUGUUGGGUUGUGAUUGUUCUCAUGAAGAUUUUAAGCUGGAAUACAAGAGGUUUAGGUUCUAGGAAGAAAAGGAGAACGGUGAGAAGGUUUUUAAGUACUCAAAACCCAGAUGUGGUGAUGCUUCAAGAAACAAAGCGUGAAAUUUGGGAUAGGAGGUUAGUGAGUAGUAUUUGGAAAGGUAAAAGUCUGGAUUGGGUUGCUCUUCCUGCUUGUGGGGCAUCGGGGGGGAUUGUGAUCUUGUGGGAUUCAGUUAAGUUCAAUUGUUCAGAGAAGGUGUUAGGAUCCUUCUCUGUUACUGUAAAAUUGAACUCUGACGAGGAAGAGUCUUUUUGGUUAACCACAGUGUAUGGCCCGAAUAAGGCAGUGUGGAGGGAGGACUUUUGGUUGGAGCUUCAAGAUCUACAUGGUCUGACUUUCCCAAGGUGGUGUGUAGGAGAGGAUUUUAAUGUGAUCAGGAGGAUAUCUGAGAAGAUGGGUGAUUCUAGGCUAACAGUCAACAUGAGGCGCUUUGACGAGUUUAUAAGGGAAAGUGGUUUGUUGGACCCCCCUCUUAGGAAUGCGGCUUUUACAUGGUCAAACAUGCAAGUCGAUCCUAUUUGCAAGAGGUUAGAUAGGUUUUUGUUCUCUUCUGAGUGGGAUUCUUUUUUCUCUCAAAAUAUUCAAGAGGCCCUUCCUAGAUGGACCUCUGACCAUAGCCCAAUUUGCUUGGAAACUAAUCCUUUUAUGUGGGGGCCGACUCCUUUUAGGUUUGAGAAUAUGUGGUUGCUCCAUCCUGAGUUUAAAGAGAAGUUUAGAGAUUGGUGGCAAGAGUGUACGGUUGAAGGUUGGGAAGGUCACAAAUUUAUGAGGAAACUAAAGUUUAUUAAAUCAAAGUUGAAAGAGUGGAAUUCAAGGGUCUUUGGAGAUUUAAGAGAGAGGAAAAAGCAUAUUCUUACAGACUUAGGCAGAAUUGAUAGAAUUGAACAAGAAGGGAAUUUAAAUCUUGAGCUGGUUUCGGAAAGGAUCUUAAGAAGGAAGGAGUUAGAGGAUUUGUUAUUGAAGGAAGAGGUACAAUGGAGACAAAAAUCUAGGGUUAAGUGGAUUAAAGAAGGGGAUUGCAACUCUAAGUUUUUUCACAGAGUGGCCACUGGAAGAAGAAGCAGGAAGUUUAUAAAGUCUCUGAUUUCUGAGAGGGGGGAGACUUUAAAUAACAUUGAGGUUAUUUCUGAGGAGAUUGUAAAUUUCUUUGGGAAUCUUUAUUCCAAACCUGAAGGUGUUUCUUGGAAGAUUGAAGGGAUUGAUUGGGCCCCUAUUUCUGAAGAGAGUGCAAUUUGGUUGGAUAGGCCGUUUUCGGAAGAGGAGGUUCGAAUGGCAGUUUUCCAAUUGAAUAAGGAAAAGGCCCUUGGCCCUGAUGGCUUUACCUUAGCAGUUUAUCAAGAGUGUUGGGAUGUGAUAAAAGAGGAUCUCAUGAGGGUGUUUUUUGAGUUCCACACUAAAGGGGUAAUAAAUCAAAGCACAAAUGCGACUUUCAUUGCUAUGGUGCCUAAGAAAAGCCAAACAUUCAAAAUAUCAGAUUAUAGACCUAUUAGUUUGGUUACAAGUUUUUAUAAGAUAAUUGCUAAGGUCUUAUCAGGGCGUUUACGCAAAGUUCUUCAUGAAACAAUCUUUGGCUCGCAAGGAGCCUUUGUGGAAGGGAGACAAAUAUUGGAUGCUGUAUUGAUAGUCAAUGAAGUGGUGGAUGAGAAAAGAAGGUCAGGAGAGGAAGGGGUAGUUUUCAAAAUUGAUUUUGAGAAGGCCUAUGAUCAUGUGGAGUGGGGCUUUUUAGAUCAUGUGCUUCAAAGGAAGGGGUUCAGCCAGAAAUGGAGAUCUUGGAUGAGGGGUUGUUUAUCUUCUUCUAGUUUUGCUAUCCUAGUUAAUGGGAAUGCAAAGGGUUGGGUUAAGGCCUCUAGAGGAUUGAGACAGGGAGAUCCUCUUUCUCCUUUCCUUUUUACUCUAGUAGCAGAUGUUCUAAGUAGGUUGAUGAUUAGAGCUGAGGAAACUGGGAUAACUGAGGGUUUCCUUGUGGGGAGGGAUAGGACUAGAGUGUCCUUGUUACAGUUUGCUGAUGAUACCAUAUUUUUCUCUAAAGCCUCUUUGGAUCUUCUUAAAAACCUUAAGAUUAUCCUUUUGGUUUUUGGGCAAGUAUCUGGUUUAAAAAUCAACUUAGAAAAAAGCACCAUUUCAGGUAUUAACACUAGGCAGGAAGUGUUGUCUAGUUUGGCUUUGGUUUUGGAGUGCAGAGUGUCAGGGUGGCCUUUGUCUUAUUUAGGCCUUCCUUUAAGAGGGAACCCAAAGACAAUAGGAUUUUGGGAUCCAAUGGUUGAGAGAAUUUCGAGGAGGUUGGAUGGGUGGAAAAAUGCCUAUUUGUCUUUGGGAGGGAGGAUUACACUAAUUCAGUCUUGUCUGUCUCACAUCCCUAGCUACUUCCUUUCCCUCUUCAAAAUCCCUGUAUCUAUAGCUUCAAAGAUUGAGAAGAUGCAAAGGGAUUUUCUUUGGUCUGGGGCCGGGGAAGGGAAGAGAGAUCACCUAAUCAGAUGGGAGGUUGUCAGUAGACCAAGGGAGAUGAGAGGUUUGGGCUUUGGGAAGACUUCUAUGAGAAAUAGUGCCCUCUUAGGGAAAUGGCUUUGGAGGUUUCCUAGAGAAAGGAGCGGUCUUUGGCAUAAGGUUAUUGCGAGUAUAUAUGGGACGCAUCCUAAUGGAUGGGACGCCAACAUGGUGGUUAGAUGGUCUCAUAGAUGUCCUUGGAAGGCUAUUGCUCAAGUUUUCCAAGAGUUCUCCCCUUUUGUUCGCCUAGUGGUGGGCAAUGGGGAGAGAAUUCAGUUUUGGGAAGAUCUUUGGUGGGGAAACCAAACUUUGUAUGCUCAAUUUGCUGAACUCUACAGAGUUAUUUCUGUGAGAAACCUUACUGUCUCAAGCGUCCUUGGCAAUUCCUUUCCAUUGUCUUGGAAUUUUAACUUUCGCCGCAAUCUAACGGAUUCAGAAAUUGAUCUCCUUCAGAGAUUAAUGUCCUCUCUUCAUUUUGUGCUUCUUUCCCCUUCCUCAUCAGACUCAAGAGCGUGAUCUUUGUCUUCGUCAGGCUCGUUUUCAGUGAAAUCUUUUUUCUAUGCCUUGUCAAAAGAUUCAAAUCCUUUAAUGUUCCUUCCGGCCAAGUUUUUAUGGAGCUCAAAAGUCCCUUCAAAGGUUAAGGCCCUCGCUUGGUUAGUAGCACAUGGGAAGGUAAACACUAAUGACAAGUUGCAAUUGAGAAGACCCUACAAAGCCCUCUGUCCUCAAUGGUGCAUUCUUUGCAAAUGAAAUGGAGAGUCGAUUGACCACCUUUUUCUUCAUUGUCCCGUCACCAUUGGACUUUGGCACAGGUUGUUCAAUCUAGUAGGUGUGAUUUGGGUUCCUCCAAGGAGCAUUGAGGAUAUGUUGGUUAUUUCCUUUAAAGGCUUGGGGAACUCAGUAAGAGGCAAGUUUCUUUGGCAAAUUGCUUGCCUUACUUUGAUUUGGAUGGUGUGGCAAGAAAGGAAUAAUAGAAUCUUUGAGGAUAAAGGGAGAACGGAAGAGGUGGUUUGGGAUUUGAUUCGGUUUUACUCUUCUCUAUGGGCUUCUUGUACUGAAGCUUUUAGAGGAGUUCCUCUAAGCAUUCUACAAAUCAAUUGGAUUGGGGUUUGCGUUUCAAGAGUUUGAAGUUUGUUGGGUUUUUUGUUUUUAGUUUUCUUUUGUUGGGUGUUUUCCUUGGCUCUUGUGUAGGAAGGACUUCUCAUCCUUCCCUUGGUUUUUUUCUCUUUCUUUUGUCUCUUUUUUCUCUUCUGUAUUUGUUCUUUUAUUAAUAUAAUCUUUUUCGUUUCUGAUCAAAAAAAAAAAAAAAAAAAAAAAGCUUCCUGCAAAACUGGUACAAAGUCCUGAAGAUUAAAUUAAGGAGGACUUAUAUACUUUUCCAGGUGACCAGGGUAAUGUUUUAGUUGAGCUGACCAACAUGCUCUUGAGUAGAAAUCAGUGGAACAGUCAUAAAAUCAGAGGAAAAUAGAGUGGUCACAACAGAAGUGAAAAAUUUUGAUUAGUUAUUGAUUAAGUGCAUCUCUUCUGGAUUGUCAUACUAUUUUGUGGAUGCUAGGGGUAGGGAUUAGUAUUUGAACUCUCGUUUAGGGUAAUAGCAUUUUCUUGAAUGCCUUGUUGUGUGAGAUCCUAAGUUUAAACCUUAGGUUAUUUUUGGUUUGGUUCGUAAACUUUAUAAACACUCAAUUUACACUAAAUAUGCAUCAUUUUUUCCCCUGUUUUUAAAAAUUUCAGAGAACAGCAGCAGGUAGCAAGUUUUGGCACAGGAGAAAGCAUUCUGUUGAGAUUAAUACUGAUUUACUUCAAGUUGAGUUAGAUCAGAAUGCUGCUCCACCAGUGGAAGAUACUGAUCUCAAUUCAGUCCCAGAUCCUGCUGGUUCCCCUUCUGGUUCAAAUCAAGCACAAGAUGCAGUUCAAGUUCAGCAAAAUGUGAGGGAAGAGUGGGCUGCAACAUACAUCCAAACAGCUUUUCGAGGAUUUUUGGUACUGAAGUGCUAAGCAUAACUUUUUAUCUUUUUCCUGAUUACCUUCUAAAAUGUCUCUUUAGUUGAAAGAUGAAUUGGGAUCUGGAGCUGAAGGCCCCUACCCCAAAUAGUUGGGAUUAAGGCUGUGCUGAGUUGUGUCUGGAUCUUGGCCCCUUCUAAAUGUCCAACUGUUGCAGUUGUAUCUUGCUCACUUUAUUUUCCCUGUCCAUAUACUGAAGGACUAUUUGAACCUUCUUUGAUUGUUUGGUUUGGCUUAGGAAAAUUCUGAGAAGGCUAGUCUGUUGGUCUUGGGCUGCAGGCACUUGGGUGGAUGAGGAAGUUUGACAUAAACUUAUAUGCAUGAUUUGAUACACUGCUUAUAUACAUGGGCCAUUGCUAUGGUUAUUAUAAUCCAAGUGUUCCACAAUAACUAUUUGAACUGGACAACUGUCUUCCACUUGGAGCACAAAAUUUUAAUAUUAUAUUUAAUAAAUUUUCCUUUUUCUUCCAUUCCUUUGCAGUGUUCAGUACCUUACUUCACACUAACUUAUAUCUUUUCAUUGGCAUGAUGUUAGACUGUUCUUAAAUAGAAUUUGGGUCUCUUCUAAUCAAUUAAGUAGAAAGAGAGAGUAAGGUUUUUCAGGGUGUGUUUAAUUUUAUAAUUUAGCUGUGUUUGAUUGUCAAAAGUCAUAAAGAAUGGCAACAGAUACUUGGAAUCCUAUAACAGUUCCACUGGAGUGGCUGUCUUAACAUAGAGAAUUUCUUUUUCUUUUCCUGUGGUUUCUUAGCAAUAAAAUGGUGUAAUAGGUUUUAUAACUGAACAGAGAGAAGUAGAAAAUUUUCUAAUAUUGGAGCUAUGAAUUGUUUUUUGUAUAUUCCCAUGUGGUAUUUUACUAGUAUAGGUUUAUUUAGUACUUUGAAUGCUCCAAGCAUACUUUGUAAUUAGUUCAUUGUAUUUUUGGGAGGAUUCCUCAUCCUUCUUUUAUAUUUCUUUAUUCUUAAUUUAAUACAUUUUCUGUUUCUAAUUAAAAAAAAAAAAACAAAAACGAGAAGUAGAAACUUUUUAGAACUAAAAAUAGAGAGAAGAAAGGAACACGUUAUGAGUUCUACUAUAGGGUUAGAAGGAAUCCACACUUGUUCUUCUGAUGAACCCUCAAACAAUUUAAAACAUAGUUUUACUGUUCAAAAAUUUUUAUAUUUAGUUGCAUCUACAUUCUAGUCAUCAUAUCGGCUCAUGUUAUAGCCAUCCAAGUAAUAUUUCUGACUUUAAAAUAUAAGCUUAGUAUCCAAAAUUUGCUAUACUCUGUUCUGUCAUCAUUUUAAUUAUUCCAUGGGCUUACUUUUAACACCCAACAAAUUUGGACUCAUCAAGAACCACAUGCUAAUCUGAAUUUCUGAGUAAAAAAACAUGAGCUCAUUACCACAAAAGGAGGCCCUAUGGACUUUGGCUGAGACUAAGUUCCUAGUCAGCUUGAUUUAGCUCAACACAACCUUAAACUGUCAUGCUUUAUCCUGCCUUAGCCCAAUUCUCUAGUUUUAUGUUUUUCACUGUGCCCAACUGUUUUGGUCCUUUUUCUUUUCUUAUAGGGGAUAUAUUCUAUUAAAUUGGAAGCUAAGGCCUAGUCCAACUGAUACUAGGAUCCAAGCCGGAAAAUAGCUUGAUUGGAGGUUACCAGACUAGUACAAUUCCCAACUAUGGUUCCAUAUUUAAUACAAUUUUUUGUUUCUGAUCAAAAAAAGAAACAAAAAAAAACUAUUGCCAAUUAUAGUCAAACUGUAGAGCUAGAAAAGCAUUCCUGUAACCGAACUUACACUAGGACAAUAUUAAAUUAAUGAAUACCCAAAAAUUUAGCAGUCCUGUUUAUGUUGGAUAUCAAGGCCAGUUUCUGAGAUGUAGACCUUGAUGCAUUUGGUGAGGAAACUAUCAAAAGGUAUUUUUUAAACUAAAUAAUAUUCUGCAGAGAUACUUUUGGUGCUGUCUGGAAUCCUUGACUGGAUGAACUGAAUUUAAACUUGAUGUUUCUAUUGUUUCUGUUGUUUUGUAAACAGUCACCUGUGCAGUCACAUGAUUUUAUUCUGGAGACCAUGUGUAAAAUUGAACUUCAGCACAACCCUCAGGGUUUGUUUAAUUUUGUCCAACCAAAGUUUGAUGGUCCGACUUUGGAUGGCCAGAACUGGUUGUAUGCAAAACAGGUCCUUGAAAUAUAGUGACCAAAAUUACAAUUUAUUUAGAAAUAGAGAUUAUGUGUUAUGGUCUGCAUGGGUAUCUGUUCUAUUUUCAUAAUGCAUUUAAUACACUGGGAACACAGGCAUACCAUACACUUCUAUCUAAUGUGCUCAAUGUCCAAUAACAAUAAUGGGAUUUUUUUCAGUAAAUGGGAAACCAAAAAUGUUCCAGGGUGGAAAUGAGGGAAUGCCUACAAUACCUGGGUUUAAUUAGAUACAAUUUGAAGGAUUUUGUAGGUUUAUUGAUCAGGGCUUGACAGCACUGGGAGCACUGGCAUACCAUAUACUUCUAUCUAAUGUGCUCUAUUGACCAUUGAUCAGGCUAGAAGAGCUCUACGCGCUUUGAAAGGGUUGGUAAGACUUCAAGCCCUCGUUAGGGGCCAUGCUGUGCGAAAGCAAGCUGCAAUAACUCUACGCUGCAUGCAAGCUUUAGUGAGAGUUCAAGCUCGUGUCCGUGCAAGACGUGUUCGCUUGGCAUUGGAAAGUCAAACAGCACAACAAAAACUUCAACUGCAACUAGCAAAUGAGGCUCGUGUUCGAGAAAUUGAGGUAAGCAACCCUAGAUCCUAAUUUGGUAGGACCUUGUCUGUUGUGGUGAUAAUUUUUCUUAUACAUUAUAUUUUCCUUUUUGAACUGAAAUGCCCCACAUACCCACCCCAAGGACUUGCCACUUGAGCUAGGCCUCAAGGGCUUUUUCUAUUGUACCAGAACUGUAUCACAUGUUCAGAUGCUGUCCAUCUUGUUGUUGAACUUAGUGAAUGUGAGGAUCUAAUUUAAAUUUUCAGUAGAGAAAAUUGCACCUGGCCAUUGCUUGGCUGCUUUUUGGGCUUUAAAGCAUUGUGCAAGAGUCCUCGUCUAUGCCACCACUUCAUGAAAAAUCUCAUUCCUAUUAAUUUAAAGACAAUCCCAAGAAAUCACAUGACAAAAAGAAACCAACAACUUUUCCUGGAAAAUUAGACUUAGUUUAGAAUCUCGAUCAUUACAUUUUAUAUCUCUAAAUUCAACAGCGAUCUAAUGCAGCCCUAGAUCUCGAUCCUUAAACUUUUCUUAGUCCCGAGAGCCCUUCAAAAUGUUCUUUAAGGUUUCAUGGACUUGGGGAUAUAGGUUCCCCAACAACCACUCUAUAUAAAAGAACAUAUUUCUUUGAAAACUGUUAUGGCAUGCAAAAGAUUUUGGGAGACUAAGGCUGGAAUUUUAUAUGAGAAUGAAAGAGUGCUGUCAAUGAAUAGACAAAAGUUCUUUAGUUAUCUUCCUUAUGGCCUUUAUAGAGUAUGAAAGAGAAUCUCAAAAGCCUUAGUCUUGUUAGAAAUCUAUCCUGAUCCAAUCAAGAUUCUAAAAGACUUUAUCAAUAUUAGGAUUUUUAGAACAUUUUUUAUAAUUAGGCUAAAAGCCAUAAUAAGACUUAUUUGAGACUUAAAUUUAAAUAUAUGACUUGUUCUCUAAGUGAGAACAAAUUUUCAAACUUCCAAAUUAAAAAAUCGCAAAGAAACUUACUUCUACACAAUAAAUUAAUAAUUGAUCUAGUUUAUGUAUAAACAAGUUUCUAGGUUCUCUCAUGUGCAUCUCAUAUGAAAACACCAUUUUUAGCCACCUCCGAUGAUUAGGCAAAGGGGGCUCCUUGGAGAAUCACCAUCUAUCCUAUGGGCCUGUUUGGAUACAUUUUUAAAAAGUAUUUCUCAACAAUCAAUUUUGAGAAUAGUUUUGAGAAAUAGUUCUAUAUUGUUUUUAGGAAUAAAAUUCUAUUUAGGAACUCAAUUCUGAAAGCCAACCUUACCCUGUGUUUAAAAGUAAGACAACAUGAGAAAUUUGUUGUCAGAACAGCUUUAUCAUCCGCGUUUCCUUAGUUCUUAGAGCAGUCUACAAAAAGCAAGUGAAAACAUCUUAAUCUAUUUUAAAAAUUUGCCCUAUUUUGAGAAAAAGCUUUGUCAAGAAUGUUUUUGAAGCUUAAAGAAUUAUUUUAUUAAUAAGAUACUUGUUAGGCAAGAUAUGCAAUGAAAACACAAUAAACUAUUUUAUUAAUUAAAUAAAAAGUCAAUAAAGUGGCUUUCAGGGCAUACAAUCCCAACAUGGUAUGUUACCAGUUCAACUUCCCAUAGGCUUCUAGGUUUUGCACUUGCUAAUGGCUAGCUCACAUGAGUUUUGGGGUUCACAUCCAUGGCUAGAUUGUUUUUGGCUUUGGGCUGUAACAUAAUUAUCCAAGAUUUUACAUUCAUACUGCAAUAAGUUAUUGAACCACUAUACCUGAUUUGCAAAUGCUUUAUUCAAAGCAUGUGUCUCACUUGCAUUAGAUUUAUGUUGGGUUUUAUAGCUUUGCGUUCCCUUUUUUCUAUGUUGGCCAUUUUUUCUCACCCCUCUGCCUUCUUUGUGUAUUUCUUUACUGUAGUUUUCCUCCAUAAGCUAUUUUACUGCACUGCAAACCUUUGAAACAUGUUGUAAGCAGCAUUUUUAUUAAGUAAAGACAGACUUUUAAGCCCUUCUAUAUGCAGGGAGGCACUUCAAACCCCACUAUAAAGAGACAUUUCUUCUCUUCAUCUAGGUCACCCAAAGGAGGUUUCUUUACAUUUCUUGAAGUCUUUUAUGCACUGAUAUUGGGUUGUUGAAGGUGGAAACAAAGUGCACUAUUGGACUUGAUAGAAUGCUUUUAGUAAGCAUCAACCUUCCCAUUUAGACAAAUUUUGUUUCCACCCCAUCAAAUCUGCUCUCAAGGAAAUGGAAUUCCUUACCACAUUGCUCCAUGGGAUGCCUGUAGUGUAAAACCCUAGUAGUUGGUGAGCGAGCUCCUUGAUUUCACGCCUAGGCAAACCAUCAAACUUCCUCCACUGACCCAACUCAAGUUGGCUUACUCUUAUUAUUUAUUUUCAACCAUAAGACACCUCAAAGCAAGGGAUGACUUAUCUGAGAUACUUUUUGGUCUACCUAUGCCCCACCAUGGAGAAAUUUAUUAUUGGUCUGCAUAGAUCUCUAUUAGAAGAUGGUCUUUCAUAUCUUUUACUUUUACAUUUUUUGCCUUUUGGGAUCUAUGAAACUCCUUACUCCCUUUUUGACACAUCUAAAUGAAUUUCUACCUAGUGAAACAAGAUGUGAUUGGUAGUUGUUAGUAGUGUAGAGCUCUAAAUUGAUGAUCCUGGACAUAGCUAAAACCAAAUGUUUGGGAUCUUGUGGUAGAAAUAAAAUGAUAGAACCUGAUUGCAAUUUCUAAAGAGACCAUCUAGAUUCGUAUUUCCAUAUAAUUCCCAGUAGUGCUCUCAUAGCAUUUCCAAAGUUGUUCCAUCUGUUGUGAGGAGAAUGGGGUCCUGAAAUGCAUUUGUUACAAAAUUAUUGGAUGAAAUUAUAUUCUUUAGUAUUACAGUAAGUGUAUCCAUGACUAAUAUGUAAAAUAAGUGGAAUUUGAAAUAUUACCCCAUGCUCAUUCUUAAUUUUCUGAUUAGUUUCAGUUAGGAAAUUCAUGUGGCUUGUGACUGAUGCAGGAAGGGUGGUGCGAUAGUGUAGGAUCUGUUGAAGAUAUUCAAGCCAAAUUGCUAAAAAGGCAGGAGGCAGCAGCUAAGCGAGAGAGAGCCAUGGCCUAUGCUCUGGCUCAUCAGGUAAAAAUAUGAUAAAGCCCCUUGAAUAUGAAGUCACUUGCAUAUGAACCAUGUUAUACCUUUAGAAAGCUGAGUUAAAGUAGGGAAAUUAAUAACAAACAAGAAAGUACAUGUUCAAUCCUGUACAUCUAAACCUAGUCAUGGAUUGCUUUUGAGAACUUCUGUUCCAGCUUAGCAUUCUGAACCGGAAUGAUAUUUUAGAGUUUUUAAUGGAUUAAAAUCUAUAGAUUGAUGCAAUUUCCUUUUAGCUUCUGUUCAUUCUUGAUUGUGGGGUUUAAGCAAUUUUACUAAAAAAUUCACCUGCCACCUAUGUUUAAAGCUGACAGUGAAUGCUUUACUUUUAUGCUGGAUCUGUAAUAUGUUGUAUAAUUAUUAUAUCCCAUGUCAUAAACCAUAAAUGAUAAGGUAUGUCUUUUUUAUUCAGAGAUCCAAAGGUAAUGACUUUGAUAGGCCGGAUGAAUAUUUCUAGGUUAUGGGUAAUCAGAAAUGGGUGAGUGCAACUUUUUUCGGCUGUCCAGAUGUAACAGGUUACUAGCUUUUUAUUAUUUUAUUAUUGUUUUUUAAGACCAGGCAAUGGGAGUUUUUGAAAAAACUUUUCAUUCUCAAGGAACCCAAUCAUUAAGAUUUCACCUUAUGACUUUACGCAACUUAUAUUCUCAAGUUUCACAUGUCAAUAUUGUAUUAUUUAUCUUUCCAUAGAUAAUGGAGUAUUGUGCUUCUUGUAUUGAUUUGUAGGAAAGAGGCUCAAUAUCUUUAGAAAAUCUACAAGAUUUUAUAGAAAAUUAAGAAAUGCUAAAAGUAACAUGAAAAAUAAGUAAAUAAAAAAUGAAAAUCAUUUUUCAAAUAAGUACAAACUGACUUGGGUAGUGGAUGCAAUCUUUGGAAAAUAAAAUUAUGUGAAAUAUCAUGGCAAACAUGCAUACAAGAAAGAAUUCAAACAUUAGUUUCCAAAAGGAAAAUCAGAGGCCAUGCAAAAGUUAUGGGUAUCAUUGUGAUGCCUUUUAUCAUUUGUAAGGAUAUAACAUAUCAUCUCAACAUGUAACUUUAUUAUCAGAAAUGCUGUAGAAUUCUUUAAUGCUAAUUUGCAGAUGUUACAUUAUAUCAUUAAUUCUAAAAUUUAGUCCACCCAUGAAUUCUGAAUCUAAUAAAUAUGCAUCUUGAUUCGUUGUACUGUGAUAGCAUGCUAUCUCCAUUAUAUUACAGAUAAACAUAGAAUUUUUCAGUUGUAUCAGUAGCACAUUUCCUGCAAGAGACAUCUGUGGCCGCUAUAUAUCCUUGACAACAUGGUAGUAUGUUGGUACAUUUUGAAUAAUGCUGAGAACCUCCUGCGAGAGGGCUUAGCAUUUUCUGAGUUAUUCUCUAAUAUUGCAUCUUUUAUAGGUUUGGGUUUUGUGUUUGGACAUUGUUGGAAAUAUUUACUGAAAUUGUUGGGUAAAUCCAAAUUCCUGUGUAGGAGCCUUUUUGUGGAUAUUGAUUUCUCACUAGGGUCUUAUAAUCUGCCCUAGAUUAUGUCUUUCAGUUUUCCCCCUUGUAGGCCUGUGUAAGAUCAUUUCUGUUCCUGCAGUGGCAGGCGGGAUCAAGGCAGCAGGCUGCUCCCUCUGAGUUUGAACCAGAUAAAAGCAACUGGGGUUGGAACUGGUUGGAAAGAUGGAUGGCUGUUCGUCCAUGGGAGAAUCGGUUUCUUGACAUAAAUCUGAGAGAUGGAGUGAUGAUUCGUGAGAAUGGUUCAACUGAGGGAAAGAAUGGCUCCAAGACCCAGUCAAAAUCUGCUGGAAAGAAACCCAUUUCUUUAAAUCUCUCAAAUCAGAAAAUGGGUCCAUCUAAUUCUGAUGGGGGUAGUUCUUCUCCCACUAAAUCAGCAAUGUUUCAAGAGGCAUCCAGCACGGUUUCAGCCAAGCCAAAGUCUAAGCCAAUUCUUGAAGAUCUGGCUGAAGAAGCCAACUCUAGACCUGGUGUUGGGUCUAGAUCCCACAGCAAUCCAAAAGAGAGAUCCACACUACAAGAUAAACAGGCAAAGAAGCGGUUGUCUCUGCCCAACAGCGGUGAGACUCUCUCUCUCUAUAUCUAUCUAUCUAUCUAUAUCUAUAUCUAUAUCUAUAUCUAUAUAUCUAUUUUGAAAGGACUGCUCUGCACAAAGAAGCCUAUGCUCCCAUUUUCUUGUUCAUUGCCAGUUAUAAUUGUGACCUUUUCCCACUACAAGAAAUAUAUGUGCCUGGCUCAACCUUUUGGACAUUUGGAAACCAUUAAAUGAUAUGCAGGAAACUUUCUCCAAUAUGUAAUUGGAUAGUAGUAUAUGCUUUUACAAACUAGAUACUAGUAUCUGUUUCUUUUUUUUUUUUUUGGAUUUCAUUACCAUUAAUAAACAACACUGAUGUGUAUGGUCACUGUCCUAUUUGUAGAUUAGUUGGUUUAUUUAUUUAUAAAUACUUUUAAUGCAUAUAAUUGGUACUUUUCUCUGCUUUAUAUUUAUUUAGGUGUUGAUUUGGUUUGAUCAGGGAUAGGUUCUGGGGCUCAAGCAACCAGGCAGCAAAGUAGAAGUGUGUUAAAAAAAGCAGCAAGUGCACAGAAGCCGAUAAAGGAUAAUUCCAAGGUGAACAUAAAGGGGGACUUGGAGACUACAAAAUCUACAUCGGUCAGUGAUCUCUAGUUUUAUGUUUCUCUGGGUGGUUACUGCAUCAGGUUGUACAUAUAGAGAGAGAGAGGGAGGGAGGGGCCGAUGCAGCACCAUUUUGUCUUUUCUUGUCAUAGAACAUGUUGAAAGGAGAUAGUAACCAUACUGCUGCUUUAGUUGCUAUCAUAAUAUUCGUAAGGUGGGUUGGGUUGGGUUGUCUAGGAAAUAAGAUUUGGGUCUGUUGUAAUCAUUUAAUUAUUGGCAUCUCAGGUGUAUGUGAUUUUAUGGGUGUUUAUUUUUGGAGUGGAAUUGGAUGAUUUUUCAGAGCGCCUCACGUUCAUGCUAUUGUCUCUUCAGCUCUUCUAUCUCUGUUUGUUGAAGAUAGUGGCAACUUGUGAUUUCAUGAAAGAAAGACUAGAAAAACAUGUAGACUAGUGAUUCUGUUUAUUUGUUGGGAUCUGAACACGUAGACAAGAGUUGGUAUGCAAAUUUCAGUUUUUGUUUCUCUUCGCCUCCAAUGAAAUGUUUCAGGUUUCCAUUCCACACUUAUCAUGGUCUUAAGUUAAUGAUUUCGAUCUUGCCCGAGUUUGUUUGUAUUUUCCUAAAUCUCGGGAUUUCUGCAAACUAUUUUUUUUAUUUUUUAUUCUUCAGUAUUUCGAAUUUAUUUGUGCUUUUAGGGAUUUUUCUGAAUUUAUUUUUAUAUAUGCACAUACACGCAUACAAUAAUUGGAAAAAAAAAAUGAAAAACUGUUAGGUUGAAAUUGAUUUUUUUUUCCUUUAAAAAAUACUUUCUUCUCAUAAAUCAGUCAGUGUCAAGGAAAGUUGUUCUAACCACCAUAACAAUACAUGAAUGAAUUGAGCAAAUUAAAAAACUAUUUAAGCAAAAGAGACUAAUACCUGAAUAAUCAAAGUCUGAGUGAUGCUCAAGGAAUGUUUGAAGAAGAAGAUGCCUCAUAUUGUGAGAGUCGUGCAGUAGAAAUUUUUAAUAUGUUCCAAAACCCUAAUCAUUUAUUGGAAAGAAAAUCGCAGUUUUAGUAUAUAUGGGAAUAUCAUUUUAAAAUGAUUAAAAUUAGGGAAGCAAUAAUGAAAAUAGAAAGAGGGAUAUAACAUAAUUAGAAUAAGCCAAACUCUAUUUUAAAGACUUUUAAUGCAUCCAAAAUGCAAACACUUUGCACGUUGCAAAUCAAUUGGAAUAAUUUUGUGAAUACUAAUAUGUAUACAAAAAUCUAAAGGAUUUUGAAAUAAAAAAUAAAAAAUUUACACAUUAAAAAUGAUGUACAGUGAAUCAUGACAUAAUGCUAUUGAAUGUCAUAAUUUACCAAGCUAUUAUACUGUAUGGACUUUCAAUCUUGAUGGAAUAUUUAGUUUGUGCUAAAGUUAAUAGGAGGUUUUAACCUAUAAGUGAAAUCAUAAAGUGGUUAAAUAUUUUUAUGAAUUAGGUUACUAUUGAUGUAGGUUGGUGGUAAUAGGUAUUCUCAAUAGAGGCAUCUUAAUAUCUCAUAAGAUUAAGACAGUGUAUCCUAUGGGUGAUCCAAAUGACAUGUAAUCUAAAAUACUAUGACCAUAAUAUUUCUGAUAAAACAAAGGCUAUGAAUAAUUAAGGAAAAUACCCAAAAGGGGGGGUGAAUUGGGUUUUUCAAAAUCUUUUUCCACACAACAAUAUAUGCACAAAAUAAAUAAAGGAAAGAGAUAAAGGUAGAGAAUUCAAACUCAAAUUUAUAGUGGUUCGGCACUCCCUUGCCUACGUCCACUCUCCUCAAUCUCCUAACCGAGUGAGGGUUCCACUAGCUUGAAGCUACAAUCAAGCUUUCAAUCGUCUUACACUUGGAUUCCGGCUCCAAUGAGCUCUUACACAAUCUCUUCAAGAUUUGAACCACUUGAAGGCUUUCACACUCAGUUUACACAAGGAUGAAACACUCAACCUAGCUUAAUGAAGGCUCAAGUACAAGAGAAGGCUAGGAUGAAUUGCAAGAGUGCACUAAGAAUAUGCAAUUGAUGGUUUUAAUGCACUAAGAAGGAAGAUGAGAGCUUUUUAGAUCAAGAACAGGUAGGUAGGCUUUGAAUGCAAUUGUUCUCUUAGUCAUAAAUGAAGAGGAGCUCUCAAUAUAUAGGUUUCUAAGCUCGGGAGACAAAAACAGCAGAAAGUAGCCUCGACCGGACGAGAGCAAAGGGUUGACCGGAUCACUAGCCGUUGGAGCAUUUAUUGCAUAGCAGGUUACCGUUGCCUCGACCGGACCUCGACCGGACCUCGACCGGACAAAGGGUGAGGCUCGACCGGGAAGAGGAAGCUACUGGGAGAGAGAGAAAGUUUUUGUGUCUCCCUCGACCGGACCUCGACCGGACAAGGGAAACCGGUCGACCGGUUCCCCAACCGGUUGAGCCGGUUGGCCAUAGCCUCGACCGGAUGAGCCUUUUGGCCCUGAAAACCUAUCCUUUUUUAUUUCUUUCUUUUCCAAUACUUAGGCAAGGUCUUUAGGAGAGUUAAUAUGUCAAUUUUGAGUCAAUUUGCCUAAGGUAUAUUUGAUAAAACUCGGGUUUUACAGAAAAUCAAGUUUUAAAGAAUAAACCGAGUUUUCUAAGAUGCAUGAAAAUGUAUGAACAUCCUAAGUGCACUCAUGCUAUCAUCUUACAUUCAUUUCCUAUGAUCACAAGUCUUCCAAAUGGUCUUUAUCCCGUAUUCGUUUGGUCCUUGAGAUUGUACCUGAGAUUCUUAACAAUUUAAAGCAAUUAGUCACUUAACCACGGUUUGUUAUCAUCAAAACCUGAUUAGGAGAACCCUUGGGCUAACAAUCUCCCCCUUUUUGAUGAUGACAAACCUUGGUUAUCUAGGAGACAGAGAAAUCUCCCCCUCAAAUCAACCAUGGGAUAAUCAACACAAAAUUUAGGAAAUUUAAAGCGAGAAGACAAUGUAAAUCAAUAACAGUGUCAUAUCAUAUAUAAGCAAGAGCAAGAGUACAUGAAAGCGUAUGAUAUGCAUGGAAAUGAAAAAGUCUCCUAAGGUCCCUAUCCUAACAUAUAUAUCUCCCCCUUUGGCAACAUAAAAAAGAAACGAAGGGGGAUCCCAAACAAAAUCAAGGCUGAAGAGGUGGUGNNNNNNNNNNNNNNNNNNNNNNNNNNNNNNNNNNNNNNNNNNNNNNNNNNNNNNNNNNNNNNNNNNNNNNNNNNNNNNNNNNNNNNNNNNNNNNNNNNNNAGCCUUUUGGCCUUGAAAACCUAUCCUUUUUGAUUUCUUUCUUUUCCAAUACUUAGGCAAGGUCUUUAGGAGAGUUAAUAUGUCAAUUUUGAGUCAAUUUGCCUAAGGUAUAUUUGAUAAAACUCGGGUUUUAAAGAAAAUCAAGUUUUAAAGAAUAAACCGAGUUUUCUAAGAUGCAUGAAAAUGUAUGAACAUCCUAAGUGCACUCAUGCUAUCAUCUUACAUUCAUUUCCUAUGAUCACAAGUCUUCCAAAUGGUCUUUACCACGUAUUCGUUUGGUCCUUGAGAUUAUACCUGAGAUUCUUAACAAUUUAAAGCAAUUAGUCACUUAACCACGGUUUGUUAUCAUCAAAACCUGAUUAGGAGAACCCUUGGGCUAACAAUCUCCCCCUUUUUUAUGAUGACAAACCUUGGUUAUCUAGGAGACAGAGAAAUCUCCCCCUCAAAUCAACCAUGGGAUAAUCAACACAAAAUUUAGGAAAUUUAAAGCGAGAAGACAAUGUAAAUCAAUAACAGUGUCAUAUCAUAUAUAAGCAAGAGCAAGAGUACAUGAAAGCGUAUGAUAUGCAUGGAAAUGAAAAAGUCUCCUAAGGUCCCUAUCCUAACAUAUAUAUCUCCCCCUUUGGCAACAUAAAAAAGAAACGAAGGGGGAUCCCAAACAAAAUCAAGGCUGAGGAGGUGGUGGUGGAAACACAGAACGGAGGUAAGCCAUCAUCUCCUCGUGCUGACUCUCCUGGCGGCUCUCAAGACGCUCCUGGCGGCUCUCAAGAAGCUCAAUCCUCUGUGCAAGCUGCUCAAACUGAGAGGUGAAGCCGGCCUGAUACUGAUCGAUGCGAUCUUCCACGGAAUAAAAGCGAGUAUCAUGAACAACAGCUAACUCCUCCAUACGAGUCCCGAGAGAGCUAAUCUGUGCCGACAAAUCCAUCCAAGGUGGAUGCUCAGGAGCAUGAGGAGCCUAAGAUGGUGGCUCGGUAAAUGAUGGCUCAGUCAUCAUAGGCUCUGAGAAGGUAGCCUCAACAUGAAUGCCCCCCGACUGGUGUGGAGCCGGAAUGUCAAGCUCUGGCCCUCUCUGCUCAAGGUCCCUCUGAGGGUCCAACCCAUCCUCCAUCUCUCUAAUCUCGUCCUCCUCCUCUACUCCGGGGUGUAGCUGAUCAUGUCCCCGGGCCUGUCGCUCGGCUUUCCUAACCCAAGAGCCGUCGGGGGCCUUCUCAAGCUUCAUGCGCCCCAGAGAAUGCUCGUCAUAAGUGUCAUAGAUGCUAGGUGCCUCAAACUCUGUCUCUCUACUCAAGUCUACCCCAGCAUCCUUGAAGACACGAGUGAGGAAGCGGCCGUAGGAAAGCACUCGUGUGGUGCUCUCACAACAGGACAUCAUAUGCCGCAUCAUCACAUAACCUACAUGUAUCCGCCUCCUAGUGAGAAGUGAGUCGACAAGAAAGGCCUCAUAGUAGGAGACCUCGUCCCGAUGUCCACCCCGUGGUAAUAGGAUGGAGCAGAUCAUAUGAUGAAGGACUCUGCUAGGCACGGUCAGGCUAUGUGCUGAAGGUUUGCCCAUCCCAUGGGCAUCUGCAAGUCCGCACAGCCUCUGAAUGGCCUCUCUUGGCUCGAACCCGGGGAUAGUAGGCCAUGCCUUGGCCUCAUAUACUCGAAGACCAACGGGGGGAACAUCAAGGAUGCGACAAAUGCUCUCCGGACUCAGCUCAAUCUCAACUCCUCGGACAGUAGUCCUAAUCGGCCCUCCAAGUCCAUAGGUUAUCCUGGAGUAGAAUGCACGCACUAAGGUCGGAAAGAUAGGCUCAUAGACCGUCACAACUGGCAACCAUCCCAUCCUGGUGAAGAGUCCCUCAAACCCGAGACUCUGAAGUUGGAAGAAAUUGAUGUUUCUCCCUGGAACCACCUUUCUCUUGGCAAAAUGCGUCUUGUACCUCUGAUAAUCCUCAACUGAGCCGAAGAGGGCGGUGUCAUACCUCGCCUUUCGGCGAGCCUCGGUCUGCUCGGGCUGCUGAGAGGGCUCAGCAGGGCGCUUGCCCUGACCUCUGGAAGUACCCGUCUCCUUUCGAGGAGCCAUCCAAAAUCCAAAAAUGGAGAUAUGUACUGAAGCGAGUAGGCAAAGACAGAAGACUAACCCCAAGAAGCCCUAGGCACGCGGGAAAGGAGCAAAACCAGAAGAUGGCGUGCAAACAGAGAGGAACCCGUCAAGAUCCGAAGUCCAAAUCCGUCCAGAGAUGAAACCCUAGCCUCAAAUCUCGUCAAAGAACACUCCAAAACCUGAAAUCGGUCCAAGGAAUAGCCCAAACUGAUCUCUGAAGGCGGGAAGAUGAAGGGUCUUUGAGGAAUGCCAGAGAACAGUGAAAAAAACUGACGCGCGAGAGCCUUUUAAACUCCUAGCCCCGACGAACCGGUCGACCGGUUCCUCAACCGGUCGACCGCCUGGUCAACGGUCAACGGUUUCAUUUUCCAAUUUUUUUGCGUAUUCUUGUCUCGUGAUCCUCCCCCUGCUCUUUUCAGUUGAAAUCCCCAAUUUUUUAUGUCCAAUGCCACGGGAAUUUUGAUUUUUGGUCAAAAAUUGACCUAUUUUCUAAGGGAUUGCUAUAUGAUGCGUAUGAGAUGAAAUUUAUGCAAUCAUAAUGCAUUUCCAACAAGAAUUCAUUAUACAAACAUCAGAUCAAAGAGAAAUGACCCCUAGUUGUCUUCUAAUAUCGGAAAAUUGUUCUUCACUUAGAGGUUUUGUAAAAAUAUCGGCAAGUUGAUCUUUUGUGCUUACAAAUUCAAGUGUAAUGUCACCUUUUUGUGCAUGAUCUCUAAGAAAAUGAUGUCUAAUUUCUAUAUGCUUGGUCCUAAAGUGUUGCACGGGAUUUUUUGAAAUAUUUAUGGCACUAGUGUUAUCACAUUUGAUAGGAACAUGCUCAAAAGAUAAGUUAAAAUCACUAAGUGUUUGUUUCAUCCAAAGGAUUUGAGCACAACACAAACCGGCUGCUAUGUAUUCGGCUUCCGCCGUUGACAAAGCUACCGAAUUUUGCUUCUUACUAUGCCAUGAGACAAGUGAGUGUCCUAAGAAAUGACAAGUGCCACUAGUGCUUUUUCUUUCAACUCUACAACCGGCAAAAUCGGCAUCCGAGAACCCAAUCAAUUCAAAAUUAUCACUCUUAGGAUACCACAAACCAAUAUUCAUUGUCCCUUUCAAAUAUCUAAGAAUUCUUUUAACGGCACUUAAGUGAGAUUCUUUAGGACAAGAUUGAAAUCUAGCACACAAGCAUACACUAUACAUGAUAUCGGGUCUACUAGCGGUCAAAUAAAGCAAGGAUCCUAUCAUGCCUCUAUACAUAGUUGAGUCAAUAGAUUUACCUUUUUCAUCCAUGUCAAGCUUGAUGGAUGAGCUCAUUGGAGUUUUCAUCACCUUGGCUUCUUCCAUGUUGAACCUCUUGAGAAGAUCCUUUAUAUACUUUGCUUGAUUGAUGAAGGUUCCUUCCUUUAGUUGCUUGAUUUGAAGUCCAAGGAAGUAAUUGAGUUCCCCCAUCAUGCUCAUUUCAAACUCACUAUGCAUACACUUAGAGAAAUCUUCACAAAGAGAGUCAUUAGUAGCUCCAAAAAUAAUAUCAUCAACAUAUAUUUGAACUAGAAGCAUAUCCUUUUCUUUGGUUUUAAUGAAAAGAGUUGUGUCGAUUUUUCCCAUUUUAAAACCCUUUUUCAAAAGAAAUUUACUUAGUCUUUCAUACCAAGCUCUAGGUGCUUGUUUCAAACCAUAAAGUGCCUUUUUAAGUUUAAAAAUAUGGUUUGGAAAGUUGAAGCUUUGAAAACCGGGUGGUUGUUCAACAUAUACUUCCUCAUUUAUGAAGCCAUUUAGAAAAGCACUUUUCACAUCCAUUUGAUAUAGAAUAAAGUCUUUGAAACAUGCAAAAGCAAGCAACAUUCUAAUUGCUUCCAAUCUAGCUACGGGGGCAAAAGUCUCUUCAUAGUCUAUUCCUUCUUCUUGAUUAUACCCUUGGGCCACCAAUCUUGCCUUAUUUCUUACUAUGAUGCCAUUUUCAUCCAUUUUGUUUCUAAAGACCCAUUUAGUUCCAAUAACACUUUGAUUUGAAGGUCUUGGUACUAGUUCCCCAUACUUCACUUCUUUCAAAUUGAUUUAAUUCUUCUUGCAUAGCAAUCAUCCAAUUUUCAUCAACUAUAGCAUCUUUUAUGUUUUUAGGUUCAAUUUGAGAGAUGAAUGCAAGAUUAUUACAAAUAUUUCUAAGGGAUGAUCUAGUUCUUACCCCACUUGAUGGAUUACCAAUGAUUUGAUCUUGUGGAUGGUUGCUGACAAACUUCCAAUCUUUUGGGAGGUCUUGGCUUGAUUCUCCUUGCACUUGUUGAGGAGGAGGUAGUGCCAAAGGUGAAUCUUCUUUCUUGGGAUCCUCUCCACUUUCUUCUUGUUGUCUUUUGUCCUCAAUUUGCAAUUUUCCCAUGGAGGUCUCCAAUCCUAAAUCAUCAUCAACACUUUCUCUUUCUUGAAGAGAAUUGUUAGAUUCAUCAAAAAUGACAUGGAUGGACUCUUCUACAACCAUGGUUCUUUUGUUGAAAACUCUAAAAGCUUUACUUGAAGUUGAGUAGCCAAGAAAAAUUCCAACAUCAGAUUUUGCAUCAAAUUUUCCAAGAUUAUCUUUGGUGUUUAAUAUAAAACAUUUGCACCCAAAGACUUUGAAAUAGCUAAUGUUGGGUUUCUUGUUUUUCCAAAGCUCAUAGGGAGUUUUCUUAAGAAUGGGCCUCAACAAUAUUCUAUUUAAAACAUAGCAAGAAGUAUUUACCGCUUCAGCCCAAAAAUACUUUGGCAAAUUGUUUUCAUUUAGCAUGGUUCUAGCCAUUUCUUGAAGAGUUCUAUUUUUCCUUUCAACUACCCCAUUUUGUUAAGGAGUUCUAGGAGCCGAAAAAUUGUGAUUGAUACCAUGCUUAUUGCAAUAUUCCUCAAAGUCAAAAUUCUCAAAUUCUCUCCCAUGAUCACUUCUAAUGCAUGUGAUUGAAAAGCUUUUUUCAUUUUGAACCUUGUUACAAAAUUUUGAAAACUCAUAAAAAGCUUCACUCUUUUGACUUAAAAACAAGACCCAUGUGUAUCUAGAAAAAUCAUCCACAAUGACAUAAGCAUAAGAUUUUCCUCCUAGACUAGGUGUCCUAGAAGGACCAAAUAAAUCCAUGUGUAGCAAUUCAAGAGGUCUAGAUGUUGAGAUGAAAUUUUUGUUUUUAAAAGAGUUUUUGAUUUGCUUUCCCAUUUGACAAGCUUCACAAAUUUUGUCUUUUUGAAAAUUAAUUUUGGGAAGGCCUCUAACGAGUUCAUCUUUGUUGAGUUGGGAAAUGAGGUCCAUGUUAGCAUGUCCCAACCUCCUAUGCCACAACCAACUUUGAUCAUGCAUGCUUGAAAAACAUCUAUCAUGGCCAUCAUAUUUUGAAAUAUUUAUAGCAUAUGAAUUUUCACAUCUAUGGCCCAUGAAGAUGGUUUUGUCAUUUUGAAUAUCCUUGAUGAUACAAUGAGAUGCUUCAAAAAUUACUUUAAAACCUUUGUCACAAAGUUGACUAAUGCUCAAAAGAUUGUGUUUUAAACCAUCUACUAAUAAAACACUUUCAAUAAGGGAGGAUGUACCAUUACCUAUGUUACCUUGACCAAUGAUUCUUCCUUUUGCAUUGUCUCCAAAGGUGACAUAUCCUCCUUUUCUCUUUGUAAGGAAGGCAAACUUGGAUUCAUCUCCAGUCAUGUGUCUUGAGCACCCACUAUCCAAGAACCACUUAUCUUCCUUUGAGCCCUACAAAAUAGAAUUCAAGUUGAUUUAGGUACCCAUGUCUUCUUGGGUCCUUGAGGGUUAGUGACUUUGGAUUUUUCAAUCCAAACCUUUUUAACCUUAGCUUUUGAAUUCUUUUGAGCACCAUUUCUUAAGGGACAUGUACUACUAAUGUGCCCUCCUCUUCCACAAAAGUUACAAAUAGUGGAAGGACAUUCACUUGAGGAUUCUUUUACAAAAUAGUUUUUAAAAUACUUUUGGUUCUUUGAAGAUUUGAAUCCUAGUCCUUGUUUGUCAAAAACACAUUUUUGGCUUGCUAAGAUCAUUUCAAAGGACUUUUGUCCACAAGAGAAAAUUGAAAGAGAGGAGGUCAACCAUUCAUUUUUCUUUUUCAAAAUUUCAUUUUCAUUUCUUAAAAUCUCAUUCUCUCUUUCAAGAUGAGUUUUAGAGAUUUCAUCAAUUGAAAACUUUUCUUUCACUUCCUCAAGUUCUUUUUCAAGUUCUUGAAUUCUCUUUUUAAGAGAAUUAUUUUUCAAACUAAGUUUUUCAAAAUCCUCAUAUAGUUCUUCAAAAAUAACAUGCAUAUCUUCAUCACUAGAGUUAGAGUUUACCUCAUCAAGAUCAUCUAUUGCCAUGAAGCACAUGUUUGCCACUUCUUUUUCCUUUUCUUCCUCGGAAGAUUCUUCACUCUCACUCCAAGUGGCCAUCAUUGCCUUCUUCAUUCUUCUUUUGGCUUCAAUUUUGUAGAGAGGACAAUCAUAUUUAAUGUGUCCCGGAUUUUUGCAUUUGAAGCAUAUCAAAUCUCCUUUCUCUUCCCAUUUUUCUUUGUCACCAUGUGAUGAGGAUUCCCUUCUUGAGGGAUUUCUUCUAGAGGUAAACUUUUUCCCUCUAAACCUUUCACCUCUCAUGUACUUGUUUAGCUUUCUUGUGAUGAGAGCUAAAUCAUCAUCUUCCUCACUUGGUUUUUCUUCUUCAACAUCUUCUUCUUCCUUGGUUGUAGCCUUGAGAGCUAUGCUUUUCUUCUUCUUGUCUUCACUCUCUUGUAGUUGCUUUGUCAAACUGAUUUCAUAAGUCAUCAAUGACCCUAAGAGUUCUUCCAUAGGUAGCUUGGUCAAGUCUUUAGCUUCUUGAAUAGCGGUGACCUUUGUAUGCCACUUUGAGGGUAGAGACCUCAAUAUCUUCAUCACCUUUUCGGAUUCAUUUAUGACCCUUCCCAAUGCUUCAAGGCCAUUGACAAUUUCAGUGAACCUAGUGAUCAUCUCAACAAUAGUUUCGGUUUCUUUCAUUGAAAACAAUUCAUAGUUAUGGACAAGUAUAUUA
RNAcentral lists this long non-coding RNA (28422 nucleotides) under Vitis vinifera (wine grape). RNAcentral's name for it is "long non-coding RNA (VVIN_LNC001802)". Lineage: Eukaryota; Viridiplantae; Streptophyta; Magnoliopsida; Vitales; Vitaceae. The record is from RNAcentral.